AACGAACGCUGGCGGCAUGCCUAACACAUGCAAGUCGAACGGGAUCCUAGCUUGCUAGGUGAGAGUGGCGGACGGGUGAGUAACACGUGGGAAUCUGCCUUUUGGUUCGGGAUAACCGCGGGAAACUGCGGCUAAUACCGAAUGCCCUCGAGAGAGGAAAGAUUUAUCGCCAGAAGAGGAGCCCGCGUCCGAUUAGGUAGUUGGUGGGGUAAAGGCCUACCAAGCCGACGAUCGGUAGCUGGUCUGAGAGGAUGAUCAGCCACACUGGGACUGAGAUACGGCCCAGACUCCUACGGGAGGCAGCAGUGGGGAAUAUUGGACAAUGGGGGCGAACCCUGAUCCAGCAAUGCCGCGUGAGUGAUGAAGGUCUUAGGGUUGUAAAGCUCUUUUGCCAGGGAAGAUGAUGACUGUACCUGGAGAAUAAGCCCCGGCUAACUUCGUGCCAGCAGCCGCGGUAAU
This 459-nucleotide ribosomal RNA is filed under the name uncultured bacterium. RNAcentral's name for it is "bacterial SSU rRNA". It matches the Rfam family "Bacterial small subunit ribosomal RNA", at positions 29 to 524 of the family's 1533-position model. The record is from RNAcentral.